CACACUAUCAUUAACUGAAUCCAUAGGUUAAUGAGGCGAACCGGGGGAACUGAAACAUCUAAGUACCCCGAGGAAAAGAAAUCAACCGAGAUUCCCCCAGUAGCGGCGAGCGAACGGGGAGCAGCCCAGAGCCUGAAUCAGUGUGUGUGUUAGUGGAAGCGUCUGGAAAGGCGCGCGAUACAGGGUGACAGCCCCGUACACAAAAAUGCACAUACUGUGAGCUCGAUGAGUAGGGCGGGACACGUGGUAUCCUGUCUGAAUAUGGGGGGACCAUCCUCCAAGGCUAAAUACUCCUGACUGACCGAUAGUGAACCAGUACCGUGAGGGAAAGGCGAAAAGAACCCCGGCGAGGGGAGUGAAAAAGAACCUGAAACCGUGUACGUACAAGCAGUGGGAGCCUCUUAAUGGGGUGACUGCGUACCUUUUGUAUAAUGGGUCAGCGACUUAUAUUCUGUAGCAAGGUUAACCGAAUAGGGGAGCCGAAGGGAAACCGAGUCUUAACUGGGCGUUAAGUUGCAGGGUAUAGACCCGAAACCCGGUGAUCUAGCCAUGGGCAGGUUGAAGGUUGGGUAACACUAACUGGAGGACCGAACCGACUAAUGUUGAAAAAUUAGCGGAUGACUUGUGGCUGGGGGUGAAAGGCCAAUCAAACCGGGAGAUAGCUGGUUCUCCCCGAAAGCUAUUUAGGUAGCGCCUCGUGAAUUCAUCUCCGGGGGUAGAGCACUGUUUCGGCAAGGGGGUCAUCCCGACUUACCAACCCGAUGCAAACUGCGAAUACCGGAGAAUGUUAUCACGGGAGACACACGGCGGGUGCUAACGUCCGUCGUGAAGAGGGAAACAACCCAGACCGCCAGCUAAGGUCCCAAAGUCAUGGUUAAGUGGGAAACGAUGUGGGAAGGCCCAGACAGCCAGGAUGUUGGCUUAGAAGCAGCCAUCAUUUAAAGAAAGCGUAAUAGCUCACUGGUCGAGUCGGCCUGCGCGGAAGAUGUAACGGGGCUAAACCAUGCACCGAAGCUGCGGCAGCGACACUGUGUGUUGUUGGGUAGGGGAGCGUUCUGUAAGCCUGUGAAGGUGUGCUGUGAGGCAUGCUGGAGGUAUCAGAAGUGCGAAUGCUGACAUAAGUAACGAUAAAGCGGGUGAAAAGCCCGCUCGCCGGAAGACCAAGGGUUCCUGUCCAACGUUAAUCGGGGCAGGGUGAGUCGACCCCUAAGGCGAGGCCGAAAGGCGUAGUCGAUGGGAAACAGGUUAAUAUUCCUGUACUUGGUGUUACUGCGAAGGGGGGACGGAGAAGGCUAUGUUGGCCGGGCGACGGUUGUCCCGGUUUAAGCGUGUAGGCUGAUUUUCCAGGCAAAUCCGGAAAACUAAGGCUGAGGCGUGAUGACGAGGCACUACGGUGCUGAAGCAACAAAUGCCCUGCUUCCAGGAAAAGCCUCUAAGCAUCAGGUAACAUCAAAUCGUACCCCAAACCGACACAGGUGGUCAGGUAGAGAAUACCAAGGCGCUUGAGAGAACUCGGGUGAAGGAACUAGGCAAAAUGGUGCCGUAACUUCGGGAGAAGGCACGCUGAUAUGUAGGUGAAGUCCCUCGCGGAUGGAGCUGAAAUCAGUCGAAGAUACCAGCUGGCUGCAACUGUUUAUUAAAAACACAGCACUGUGCAAACACGAAAGUGGACGUAUACGGUGUGACGCCUGCCCGGUGCCGGAAGGUUAAUUGAUGGGGUUAGCGGUAACGCGAAGCUCUUGAUCGAAGCCCCGGUAAACGGCGGCCGUAACUAUAACGGUCCUAAGGUAGCGAAAUUCCUUGUCGGGUAAGUUCCGACCUGCACGAAUGGCGUAAUGAUGGCCAGGCUGUCUCCACCCGAGACUCAGUGAAAUUGAACUCGCUGUGAAGAUGCAGUGUACCCGCGGCAAGACGGAAAGACCCCGUGAACCUUUACUAUAGCUUGACACUGAACAUUGAGCCUUGAUGUGUAGGAUAGGUGGGAGGCUUUGAAGUGUGGACGCCAGUCUGCAUGGAGCCGGCCUUGAAAUACCACCCUUUAAUGUUUGAUGUUCUAACGUUGGCCCCUGAUCGGGGUUGCGGACAGUGUCUGGUGGGUAGUUUGACUGGGGCGGUCUCCUCCUAAAGAGUAACGGAGGAGCACGAAGGUUGGCUAAUCCUGGUCGGACAUCAGGAGGUUAGUGCAAUGGCAUAAGCCAGCUUGACUGCGAGCGUGACGGCGCGAGCAGGUGCGAAAGCAGGUCAUAGUGAUCCGGUGGUUCUGAAUGGAAGGGCCAUCGCUCAACGGAUAAAAGGUACUCCGGGGAUAACAGGCUGAUACCGCCCAAGAGUUCAUAUCGACGGCGGUGUUUGGCACCUCGAUGUCGGCUCAUCACAUCCUGGGGCUGAAGUAGGUCCCAAGGGUAUGGCUGUUCGCCAUUUAAAGUGGUACGCGAGCUGGGUUUAGAACGUCGUGAGACAGUUCGGUCCCUAUCUGCCGUGGGCGCUGGAGAACUGAGGGGGGCUGCUCCUAGUACGAGAGGACCGGAGUGGACGCAUCACUGGUGUUCGGGUUGUCAUGCCAAUGGCACUGCCCGGUAGCUAAAUGCGGAAGAGAUAAGUGCUGAAAGCAUCUAAGCACGAAACUUGCCCCGAGAUGAGUUCUCCCUGACUCCUUGAGAGUCCUGAAGGAACGUUGAAGACGACGACGUUGAUAGGCCGGGUGUGUAAGCGCAGCGAUGCGUUGAGCUAACCGGUACUAAUGAACCGUGAGGCUUAACCUU
RNAcentral lists this ribosomal RNA (2762 nucleotides) under Escherichia coli. Its description in RNAcentral is "partial 23S ribosomal RNA". It matches the Rfam family "Bacterial large subunit ribosomal RNA". Lineage: Bacteria; Pseudomonadati; Pseudomonadota; Gammaproteobacteria; Enterobacterales; Enterobacteriaceae. The record is from RNAcentral.